This 277-nucleotide ribosomal RNA is filed under the name uncultured Roseburia sp. RNAcentral's name for it is "partial 16S ribosomal RNA". It matches the Rfam family "Bacterial small subunit ribosomal RNA", at positions 511 to 788 of the family's 1533-position model. Lineage: Bacteria; Bacillati; Bacillota; Clostridia; Lachnospirales; Lachnospiraceae. The record is from RNAcentral.
GCAGCCGCGGUAAUACGGAGGAUGCGAGCGUUAUCCGGAUUUAUUGGGUUUAAAGGGUGCGCAGGCGGCCCGACAAGCCGGCGGUCAAAUCGCGGGGCUCAACCCCGUCCAGCCGUCGGAACUGCCGGGCUAGAGUGGGCGAGAAGUGCGCGGAAUGCGUGGUGUAGCGGUGAAAUGCAUAGAUAUCACGCAGAACUCCGAUUGCGAAGGCAGCGCACCGGCGCCCUACUGACGCUCAGGCACGAAAGCGUGGGUAUCGAACAGGAUUAGAUACCCC